Molecule: long non-coding RNA, 214 nt
Organism: Mauremys mutica (yellowpond turtle)
Lineage: Eukaryota; Metazoa; Chordata; Testudines; Geoemydidae
Exons: 3
Source: RefSeq, a predicted model, not a curated record
GGGGUACCUAGUAGGGCCCAGCCAGAGGGUUGAAUCUCCCACACCCGGACCUGUGCUGCUGACUGGACACUGAUGACUACAGCCCUGGUCAGAAUGGUGUAUUACUACCCCUUCAGACUUUUCCACGUUCUAAGAACUUAAAUUCUGGCUAUAUUUGAAGGAAAAUUAUUGUACGAUUCGCAUAGCAGCAUUGAGAGCCGCGCACAGAGACUUG